GCAUCAGCAGGAAGAAAAAGCAUUAACAGCUCUGCCACGCUGUCUCUGUCACUGUCAGAUAGUCUGUGCCACUCGUACGAGAAUAUCACCAGAACCGAAUCUCCCGCCUGUAAGUAAAUCGCGGCUAUUAACUCGUCAAGGCGUAAAUGUAUAAAACGAAUAGGUAACUGCGUUUAUUAGAUAUUAACAGGAAUGUCACAUGUGGGCAUUUUUACAACCUGAUAUUUAAUUAAAAAUGAGUUUUUCAGUUUACAUGACAUGUAUGGCUGUUCUGACACGGCCCUGGCACGCUAUGUAAAUUAAUGUAAUCAAUGCUUCUGUGAGCCUGUAGCAUUGUGCAGGGGGUUAUACUGCCCUCAAUAUGGAAACACAGUGUCGCUAGAAGUGUUUUUACUGAACUCCACUGGGUGGGUGCGGUGUUUGGUGGACUGCAGGUAAGAAAUCAAACUGCUCUAAAAUGGUUUGAUUACUUACAAUAAGGGUGGGGGUCAAUCUUGGAACCAUAAUCACUGCAGAAAUCUGUAAUGGUUAUGGUAUUUGGAGUGUUUUUUUAAGGUAAAAAUGUGCAGAAGGCAUGAUUUACAAAGGGGUCAGUCACAGCAGCCAGCCAGCAACAGUAAAUAAGGUGUGAAUAGGGUCCAGAGUGUUAGAGACGGUCGAGAGUUCAUACAUAUAUUCUGCGCAUGUACAAUAUGCGGCAUCAGAUCAAAACAGCUGAUUCUGUGUCACUUCUGGUUAUGCGGAACACCAUCUCGAUCUCCACCGUAUCGCGAAAUAAUGCACGUCUGAAACAUGUGUCACCUACAUGAAAAAGUUUGGAAAGCUCUGAAUUAACCUAUUGCAUCAUAUUAAACGAUUAUACUCUACUAUAUCACAUUACCCACUCCCUAAUAUCACGCCAUUACCAUACUACUAUAUCACAUUACCCACUCUCUAAUAUUACGCCAUUACCAUACUACUAUAUCACAUUACCCACUCCCUAAUAUCACGCCAUUACCAGACUACUAUAUCACAUUACCCACUCUUUAAUAUCACGCCAUUACCAUACUACUAUAUCACAUUACCCACUCCCUAAUAUCACGCCAUUACCAGACUACUAUAUCACAUUACCCACUCUUUAAUAUCACGCCAUUACCAUACUACUAUAUCACAUUACCCACUCCCUAAUAUCACGCCAUUACCAUACUACUAUAUCACAAUACCCACUCUCUAAUAUUAUGCCAUUACCAUACUACUAUCACAUUACCUACUCUUUAAUAUCACGCCAUUACCAUACUACUAUAUCACAUUACCUACUCCCUAAUAUUACACCAUUACCAUACUACUAUAUCACAUUACCCACUCCCUAAUAUCACGCCAUUACCAUACUACUAUAUCACAUUACCCACUCCCUAAUAUCACGCCAUUACCAUACUACUUGUAACGGAGCUCCCUGUACUCUGACCGAGUACCCUCCGUUGAUGGAUGCUCCUAGCGCUUCCUGAGGACUCCAAACACUGCAGCCGACACCACAACCACCGCAGACUCCACAACCGCCGUAGCUUAACUGGAGUCUCGCCGUCUUCCUUCCACCCUGGAUCAGCUUCUGUCCUCCAGGACCGUGUGGGGAAGACCUCUCCUCCAGGAGAGCGUAACAGGAACAGCUCUUAAAAGAGCUAAGUGAUUAAAAGCUCAGGGGAGUAUGCAGAGCAUAGCAAUCCCCAGUGUGAUAUAGCAGUUCCCUCCAAUAACGAGACAAGGCUACGUAUUGAGGGUCAAGAAGAUCUGAUGUUUAAUGGCACACACUCUGCUUUUAUGAGAUUCUGCCCAUGCAAGGGAGACACCCACAUAAUUAGCAGUAUAACCAAUCGGAACAAUAUACAUUCGGGGAAAUUCUCAUCCCUCAGAUAAUCACAUAACAUAAUUAAAACAGAACAGUAAAAAUACAGUUUUUAUACAUGUACUAUAACUUCCAAACUACACAUCCAAUCUUCAUAAAAAUUACAUAUUUGGAAUCAAUCCAUUAAGGGGAGCAACAUAUUAAAAAAUGGCACAAAUCAGACAAGGGGUUCAAAAGUUAGCAAAAGUGUCUUUUGGGGCCUGGCUGGCAGCAUGGUUUUCUGGCCCAAACCGGUUUUACAGAGGCCUCUAUCCUGGACAAUGGGGAAAGUAAUCCAAUUAUCCAGGGAUAGAGGCAGACUCCAUUAACCACAUGUUAGCAAAAGACACAAAAAGACACAAAAAUACAUAACUCCUAUUGAACUGAACAGAACCCCCACAUUCAACCUAUCCCCAGAUGGCUUGGAUCUGAGCGCUCAAUAUAUCCAAACAGCGCUCAGAUCCCACAAAUACAGUCAAAUCGCCAUACACACUAGGUCCAUAGUCAUGGGGCAGAAGGCUGGCAAUUAGGCUUCUCCAUAACACAGGGAAGCAGGGCAAUUUGUCAAAUAAAAUAACAGUUACAAAUGGCAGUUUGUAACAUAUCUCCCCUUUUGGAGGGAGACUAACCAGGCACCUGACCUCCUGUCGGUCAGUGCCUAAGUUAGUCUCGCAGCCCACCCACAAAUAACAAGUAGCAAAGUAGCCCCCCCACAAUAAACAGUACUGGCCUGUAGGUUCCAGGCUGUAGGAUGAAAAUGCAGCAUCCUCUGCCUUCCUGGUGCAGCUGGGCAAAUAGCUGGUGGUACUUGGGGGGCAGAGGCCAGCGGCGCUCUGCCCUGAUGCCCGCACUUCUGCUGGGGAGAGGGGGUUGCAGACCAGUCCUGUAACAAGGGGGUCGGUAGGGCAGAGGCCAGCGGCGCUCUGCCCUGAUGUCAGCUCUUCCGCUGGGGUAGCCGGCAGAAUGUCACGCUCUGUACAAGGGACACAGGGAGGGCAGAGGCCGACUGCACUCUGCCCAGCUGCCAGCUCUUCCGCUGGUAUAGCCUGCAGGACAUCAGGCUCUGGACAAGGGACAAAGGGAGGGCAGAGGCCGACUGCACUCUGCCCAGCUGCCAGCUCUUCCGCUGGGGGGCUUGGGACAUAGUCCGGCUCAGUAGCCAGGGGAACGUGGGGGUCAGUGGGGGUUAACAUCUCCUCUGUUAACCCUGGGGCCAAGUUAGGAGUUAGCUGGGAGGGGAAUUCGUACUUACCCCCUCCUCCUGUUGUCCCUGUGAGGGUAGUUGGGGAUCUGGACAGGCUGUCCAGCAUCCCUGUAGGUCGGGCACAGAGACCACGGUCCCCUCUGCGCCAUCUGGGAGAUUGGUGUCUCCCUUGGUAGGGUAAGCUGCCGCUGGGGAGAUAGGGUGCUGUGCUCCUCUCCCUGAAACACAGGCUGCCGCUGGAGAGGGAGACCGCCUGUCUCCACUCCCAUAACAUUGUCCUGCUGCUGGAGAGAGAGACCAACUGUCUCUGCUCCCUGUAGGACACACUGCUGCUGGGGAGGAAGGACGACACCUUCGGCUCCCUGUAACUGCACUGCCACUGGGGAGGAAGGACGACACCUUCGGCUCCCUGUAACUUGCACUGCCGCUGGGGAGAGAGACCAACUGUCUCUGCUCCCUGUAGGACACACUGCGCUGGGGGGGAAGGACGACACCUUCGGCCCCCUGGAAUUCGCACUGCCGCUGGGGAGGAAGGACGACACCUUCGGCUCCCUGUAACUUGCACUGCCGCUGGGGAGGAAGGACGACACCUUCGGCUCCCUGUAACUUGCACUGCCGCUGGAGACUAGGUGUCCAUAUCCUCACCUCCACAGUUGUCGCUCAAAGGCCAUUGCCACACUGUUCUCAGCACUCAACUGGCGCAUUACUUGUUGGACCACCUCGUUCGAAAGGUCUGGGCCAUAGCAGACCAACCGCCUCUUUACCUCCUCAAUGUAAGCGUCGUCCUCGUAGCGACGUAUCAUGUUGAGGUGCUCUUCGCAGGGCUCUAUCCAUCCCUGCUCCAUGCUGCUGUAGUUAGGGACGCUGCACAGUGGCUAGCGUUGCCCUCAAUAACCUCUCAUACGAUAUCCAGCUGCUUCUCCUCGCACUAGGACGCCAUCCCACCGCUGCCACCAAUGUAACGGAGCUCCCUGUACUCUGACCGAGUACCCUCCGUUGAUGGAUGCUCCUAGCGCUUCCUGAGGACUCCAAACACUGCAGCAGACACCACAACCACCGCAGACUCCACAACCGCCGUAGCUUAACUGGAGUCUCGCCGUCUUCCUUCCACCCUGGAUCAGCGUCUGUCCUCCAGGACCGUGUGGGGAAGACCUCUCCUCCAGGAGAGCGUAACAGGAACAGCUCUUAAAAGAGCUAAGUGAUUAAAAGCUCAGGGGAGUAUGCAGAGCAUAGCAAUCCCCAGUGUGAUAUAGCAGUUCCCUCCAAUAACUAGACAAGGCUACGUAUUGAGGGUCAAGAAGAACUGAUGUUUAAUGGCACACACUCUGCUUUUAUGAGAUUCUGCCCAUGCAAGGGAGACACCCACAUAAUUAGCAGUAUAACCAAUCGGAACAAUAUACAUUCGGGGAAAUUCCCAUCCCUCAGAUAAUCACAUAACAUAAUUAAAACAGAACAGUAAAAAUACAGUUUUUAUACAUGUACUAUAACUUCCAAACUACACAUCCAAUCUUCAUAAAAAUUACAUAUUUGGAAUCAAUCCAUUAAGGGGAGCAACAUAUUAAAAAAUGGCACAAAUCAGACAAGGGGUUCAAAAGUUAGCAAAAGUGUAUUUUGGGGCCUGGCUGGCAGCAUGGUUUUCUGGCCCAAACCGGUUUUACAGAGGCCUCUAUCCUGGACAAUGGGGAAAGUAAUCCAUUAUCCAGGGAUAGAGGCAGACUCCAUUAACCACAUGUUAGCAAAAGACACAAAAAGACACAAAAAUACAUAACUCCUAUUGAACUGAACAGAACCCCCACAUUCAACCUAUACCCAGAUGGCUUGGAUCUGAGCGCUCAAUAUAUCCAAACAGUGCUCAGAUCCCACAAAUACAGUCAAAUCGCCAUACACACUAGGUCCAUAGUCAUGGGGCAGAAGGCUGGCAAUUAAGCUUCUCCAUAACACAGGGAAGCAGGGCAAUUUGUCAAAUAAAAUAACAGUUACAAAUGGCAGUUUGUAACACUACUAUAUCACAUUACCCACUCCCUAAUAUUACGCCAUUACCAUACUACUAUUUCACAUUACCCACUCCCUAAUAUCACGCAAUUAACAUACUACUAUAUCACAUUACCCACUCCCUAAUAUUACACCAUUACCAAACUACUAUAUCACAUUACCCACUCCCUAAUAUCACGCAAUUACCAUACUACUAUAUCACAUUACCGACUCCCUAAUAUUACGCCAUUACCAUACUACUAUAUCACAUUACCCACUCUCUAAUAUUACGCCAUUAGAUUACUAUAUCACAUUACCCACUCCCUAAUAUCACGCCAUUACCAUACUACUGUAUCACAUUACCCACUCUCUAAUAUUACGCCAUUAUAUUACUAUAUCACAUUACCCACUCCCUAAUAUUACGCCAUUACCAUACUACUAUAUCACAUUACCCACUCCUUAAUAUCACGCUAUUACCAUACUACUAUUUCACAUUACGCACUUCCUAAUAUCACGCCAUUACCAUGCUACUCAAAUCAUGUCAUUACCCCGAUAUCCUAUUCUACCCUUUUCAUUAUCUCCCUAUUCCAUACUCUUACCAACAGCAUGUUAUUUACGCCAUUAUCCUAUAAAACUCUUCCUACAUUCUAUAUUGUUAUUUAUAUUCGAUUUUCUGAAUUUACAGUAUCCUAUAAUUCACUCCCUAUUACAUCACAAGCCUAUUUAAAUCCAUUUCUCUUCUCUUUCAGCCGGCACAGCAGAUUUUGACUAUGUAAACGUGGCAGAAAAAACGAGACUCUCCUAGUCCUGCUCCCAAUCUCGCUCUGUGCCAACAUGGCAUCUGCAUUUUUACGCCAACAAGGCAUCUGUGUUCUUACACCAACAUGGCAUCUGCAUUUUUACGCCAACAAGGCAUCUGUGUUCUUACACCAACAUGGCAUCUGCAUGCUGUGCCAACAUGGCAUCUGCAUGCUGUGCCAACAUGGCAUCUGUCUCCUGCGCCAACAUGGCAUCCGCGUACUGUGCCAACAUGGCGUCUCUGAUCUUUCGUUAACAUGACAUCUGCAUCCUGCAUCAACAUGGCAUCUGUUUCCUGUGCCAACAUGGCACCUGCAUCCUGCGCCAACUUGGCAACUGCAUCCUGUGCCAGCAUGACUACUGUUUCCAAUAAGGCAUGUGUGUCCUGCGCCAACAUGGGUUGGAAGAAGAGAGACUAGUAUAGAUCUAAAACUCCGUAUGACUUGCUCCAUGACAAAAUGGAAAACAUAGAACUGCUUCAUUGUAAAUAUAUUCUUUAACCCAAAACAAUUUGAGAAUCAUGACAGCAAUUUCAUAAAGAUUUAACAUCAUAAAACUGAAAAAACCAAUUCAUUUAAAGCUCCCUACUUAUCUAUGUAACAUGUUUUUCAUCUUCUUUCUAAACACUGGUGGUCACUCACAUGGCGCAGAGCAUCACGUCUGCUCCUCAGUAGCUUGCCUUUGUUAGAUUCUCACCGUAGCUACAUGACCAACUGAGGUUCCUUUAAAUUAAUAUAAAUAAGAUAAGUAACCUCCAAAGAAACACAGUUUGUGUUUUCAAAAUUAUAUAAAAACUAGAAAAAAAUGCUUAGAAUUUUAUCUUACAUACUGAAACAUUGGACAUUAUAUUCUGUUUCCUCCACAUCAGUCUAUAUAUCCCAUUAGGAGCCAUUUGUAUUAGCUAUCAUUCAUUUAGGAGAAUUAUGAAGAAUUUCUCAUAUUUUGUGAAUACAUCAUUUUUAUUACUUUUUUUAACGAGAGUAUUAUUCAUUUUGUGCUACAGGGCGAAGCUUACAGUCCGGGUUAUUCACAAAGUCCUGAAUUGUUGAGAAUUACAAAUUUAACCCUUUAAUAGCCAAUCUGGAAAUGUAACUUUCUUUGAGAUGUUUUUCCAGUAAUUUUGACCUCAGAUUUGCAAUUCUGUGAUAUAAUACAGAAAAUUCAGGAUUUACUGAAUAACUCGGCCUGUGUGAUAUGUUGCUACACUAUAAAUCAACUUACCGUUUGUUCCGCUUUAUUGGUUUUAUAGAAUAUAGAAUGUGCUAACUGUUAUAAAUAAAACAAGCAUUUCCAAAAUUACAAAA
Pelobates cultripes (western spadefoot toad) is the source of this 7135-nucleotide non-coding RNA. Lineage: Eukaryota; Metazoa; Chordata; Amphibia; Anura; Pelobatidae. The record is from the annotation of a GenBank genome assembly.